AAAAUGGGGGGAAAUUGGGAAGAGGAAGGAAAUGAGGGGAAAUGUGAGGAAAUGAGGGGAAAUGGGGAGGAGAUGGGGGGAAAGAGGAAGGAAAUGAAAAGGAAAAGGGGAAGGGGAAGGAAAUGAGGGGAAAAUGAGAGGAAAUGGAGGAAGAGGAAGGAAAUGAGGUGGAAAUGAGGCAGAAAUGGGGGGAGGAGGAAGGAAACGAGGUGGAAAUGAGGGGGAAAUGAGAGGAAAUAUGGGAGGGGAAGGAAAUGAGAGGAAAUGAGGGGGAAAUGGGGGAAGAGGAAGGAAAUGAGGUGGAAAUGGAGGAAGGGGAAGGAAAUGAGAAGGAAAUGAGAGGAAAUGAGAGGAAAUGGAGGAGGAGGAAGGAAAUUAAGUGGAAAUGGGGGGAAGAGGAAGGAAAUGAGGGGGAAGGAGGGGAAAUGAGGGGAAAAGGGGAGGGGAAGGAAAUGAGAGGAAAUGAGGGGGAAAUGGGGGAAGAGGAAGGAAAUGAGGUGGAAAUGGAGGAAGGGGAAGGAAAUGAGAUGGAAAUGAGGUGGAAAUGGGAGAGGGGAAGGAAAUGACAAGAAAUGUUGGAAGAGGAAGAAAAUGAGGUGGAAAUGAGAGGAAAUGGAAGACGAGGAAGGAAAUGAGAAGGAAAUGAGGGGGAAAGGAGGUGGAAAUGGGGGAGGGGAAGGAAAUGAGAGGAAAUGGGGGAGGGGAAGGAAAAGGGGAGGGGAAAGGGGAGGGGAAGGAAAUGAGAGGAAAUGGAGGGGAAGGAAAUGAGGAGGGGAAGGGGAGGGGAAGGGGUGGGGAAGGCCAGCCCAGGCCCCGCCCUCACCGUGACGUCGCACCAGAAGCGGCCCCAGCGCCGGAUGGGCUCCGGGGGCAGGCGCAGAGCCUGGGGGGGCACCGAGACCCCCAGCUGGGGGAGGAACGGGCUGGGAGCGCGCCCCGGCAGCGGGGAGAGCCCAAAAACGGGAGAGAGACCCCAAAAACGGGGAUUGUAUCACAAAAUCCAGGAGUGUACCCCAAAAACAGGGAGAGAGACCAAAAACGGGCACUGCACCCCAAAAAUGGGGAUUGUACCCCAAAAAUGGGGAUUGUACCCCCAAAAUGGGGAGAGAGACCCAAAAAACGGGGAUUGUACCCCAAAAACAGGGAGAGAGACCCAAAAAAUGGGGAUUGUACCCCAAAAAUGGGGAUUGGACCCCAAAAACGGGGAGAGAGACCAAAAAACGGGCACUGGACCCCAAAAACUGGAAUUGUACCCCAAAAACGGGGAGAGCAACCCAAAAAUGGGGAUUGUACCCCAAAAAUGGGGAGAGAGACCCAAAAACGGGGAGAGAGACCCAAAAACAGGGAUUGGACCCCAAAAAUGGGGAGAGAGACCCGAAAACAGGGAGAGAGACCCAAAAAUGGGGAGAGAGACCCGAAAAUGGGGAUUGGACCCCAAAAAUGGGGAGAGAGACCCAAAAAUGGGGAUUGGACCCCAAAAA
Molecule: long non-coding RNA, 1481 nt
Filed under: Chloebia gouldiae (Gouldian finch)
Lineage: Eukaryota; Metazoa; Chordata; Aves; Passeriformes; Passeridae
Description: Erythrura gouldiae (Gouldian finch) lncRNA (ENSEGOG00005010299.1)
Source: RNAcentral